GGGCUUGACAUCCCACGAACCUGCCCGAAAAGGUGGGGUGCCCGCAAGGGAGCGUGGAGACGGGUGGUGCAUGGCUGUCGUCAGCUCGUGUCGUGAGAUGUUGGGUUAAGUCCCGCAACGAGCGCAACCCUCACCCCUAGUUGCCACCGGGUUAAGCCGAGCACUCAAGGGGAACUGCCAGCGUCAAGCUGGAGGAAGGCGGGGAUGACGUCAAGUCAUCAUGCCCCUUACGCCCUGGGCUACACACGUGCUACAAUGGCCGGUACAAAGGGAUGCCACGCCGUGAGGCAGAGCCAAACCCAAAAAACCGGUCUAAGUUCAGAUUGGAGUCUGCAACUCGACUCCAUGAAGGAGGAAUCGCUAGUAAUCGCGUAUCAGCACGACGCGGUGAAUACGUUCCCGGGCCUUGUACACACCGCCCGUCACACCACGAAAGCCAGCUGUACUCGAAGUCGCUGAG
This 460-nucleotide ribosomal RNA is filed under the name uncultured Methylomirabilota bacterium. RNAcentral describes it as "bacterial SSU rRNA". It matches the Rfam family "Bacterial small subunit ribosomal RNA", at positions 977 to 1434 of the family's 1533-position model. The record is from RNAcentral. Lineage: Bacteria; Methylomirabilota (SeqCode).